RNAcentral lists this non-coding RNA (45 nucleotides) under Schistosoma haematobium. Lineage: Eukaryota; Metazoa; Platyhelminthes; Trematoda; Strigeidida; Schistosomatidae. The record is from RNAcentral.
UUCCAGCUGACAAGUCCUAAAUUGGAUGAAACGCGUGUCCUGGAU